This is a long non-coding RNA of Limanda limanda (common dab), 578 nucleotides long. RefSeq lists it as uncharacterized. The transcript is spliced from 3 exons. NCBI's taxonomy places the organism in Eukaryota, Metazoa, Chordata, Actinopteri, Pleuronectiformes, Pleuronectidae. The record is from RefSeq and is a predicted model, not a curated record.
ACAAGACUUCCCGAGCAGGACAUGUAAACCACAAAGUUUAGCGAGUGUCCAGGCUUUGCUUCUUGUGAGAUUAAUCGAAGAUGAUGGUCUUAAAAUGGUUUUACCACAAGAAAGCUUCUCCUACAAGGAUUAUACCUGUUGUCCUCCCCCCGAGGCCUCACACUGCAAGUCUGAGGAGUAAAAUGAUAGAUCCUGAAGGUUUACCACAGAUCAUGGGGAGACAAGACAGCUGCAGCUCGGCACAUCCUCAGGUUUCUUGUGACCUGUGUCCUGCUCCUCUUUGAUUGAGCUUUGCCAGAGUCAGCGUGGUCAGCUCUCCUCACGUUUCAGCUCCGAGCGACUUGUCCCUGUGUCCGUCCUCUGGCUUUCAUUUAACUACACGUGACAAGUUAGUGUUGAGACCACUUGACACGUGACCCACCGACUCAAACUUUACACAAAUUCUGUCAAAUGUCAAAUCCGACAAGUUUUGGUCUGUAGUGUUGGGACGUGGCAUCAGUGGUGUAAGUAACUAAGUACAUUAAGUCAAGAGUUGUAAGUCUGAGGUGACAUGACAUUACAAAAAGUUAUACACCAAA